AGAUCCAAUCCAAGCUCCAAUCCAAGGACUCUACAUUCUCCCAGUGUCUUUUACAGUAACAAAUUAUCCUGUCUUUGCUCUGCAAGAGGAAAACACAGAAACUGUAUCUCCUACCAUUGCUCAGAAAGAGGAAAACACAGAAACUGUAUCUCCUACCAUUGCUCAGAAAGAGAAAAACACAGAGACUCUAGUAAGCCUGGACGAUGUCAGCAUGUCCCCGUCCAAAGUGAAGUGCCCUGCUUGCCUUGAGAUUGUCACCACUGAGAUCCACUAUAAACUGGGCAGCAAUGCCUUCGUCUUUUGUUGUCUCUUAUCUGUGGUAGGGUGUCUGGCUGGAUGUUGCCUGGUUCCCUUCUGUAUGAAUCGCUUCAAAGAUGUCGUCCACAGGUGUCCAUCCUGCCACAAAGAUAUCUGUUUGGUAAAUAGGAUUUGAAGCAAAAAGUAAUACGGUUAAUAAUCUGUAACAUCAUGACUGUGAAAACUUCCAGAAGAGCUUGAAGCUGAGCACAGGACAUGGUCAAAAGGGAUUUGUAUCUCUUUGCUGGGGAAGUCAAUAUGUAGACUUUGAGAUUGGGCAAAACUAUAUGUACAAAUGAAUUCAACUAGCAAUUAAUAACUGUCUAUUAACAUUAAUCUAAUGUGCUACACUAAUAUUGUGCUAGUGGCUAACAGUCGUUUGUAUUAACCACUUCCAAUAGGCUUUUAGGGUGAUCGAAUCAUAGUAAUGACUAGUAGUGGAAGAAGUACACAUCAUGUACUACUGGCUCAUUUUGAGUGAGACAUUGGUUUAGACUCACUCUGACCAGACUGAAUCAGAGUUGUUAACAUUUGGAUCAGUUGAAUUCACAAUUGAGUCAUUCAGUGCGCACUGAUUUAAAUGGUUCACUGAAAAGAAUCAAUUCAUUCACCAAAUGACCAUCCCUAUCACGUCUUGGAGUGGUUCACUAUUUAUUCAUUAUAAAAUAACAUGUUUAUCUAAAAUAUAGUACACGUAAGAAAAUUGAGAAAUAGUACUUAUAGUAGGCUUACUAUGUCAUCCAUAUAUACUACAGAUACUCAUUUUCAUAUGAAGGUUUCUUGGUAAUAAAAAAAAGUGUGUACAGUAACAUUGAUUUGAAUAACAAUUCAGUUCCUUGAAACAAAACUUGUUUAUCAUUGCAACAUCUACAGUAUAAUUAACGGAUAUCCAAAUUUCCAGGUUUGAGUGACAUUUGUGAUUCUAUGAAUGCAAUACUUCUUUGCAUGCAUGUAAUAGUUAGAUAGCCUGAAGAACUGUUAUAAGAGGAAUGCUGUAUCAAAUGUCACUAUGAAAACAAUGGAUUUAUUUUUGUACGUGAAACUUUAUCAUGAGAAACCCUAAGAUAACCCUAAAAUAUGUAUAAUAUUAGAUAUUCAGAAUAAAAAAAACAUGGUUCCAGCAACUCUUAUGACCAAAAUAAACAAAAGCAGACACAAUUUUGAAUGUCAUUCCUCUGGUAUAUUUAAGAGACUCUAUAACAUCCUCUACGACAGUAUUUUCACAAUACAUUGAUUUUCAUUGACACAUGAUGGCAUAUAUAUACUUGUAUCUUUAAAACUAUUCACAAAAUAGAGAUCAUG
Molecule: long non-coding RNA, 1599 nt
Organism: Carassius carassius (crucian carp)
Lineage: Eukaryota; Metazoa; Chordata; Actinopteri; Cypriniformes; Cyprinidae
Exons: 5
Source: RefSeq, a predicted model, not a curated record